GAAUGCAAAUUAUUUCUUAAUAGCCUGGUUUGGUAUGGGGACACACCCCCUUGACAACCAGCUGAAUCAUCUGUAUCCAUACAAUCCCCUCAUUUCCAGUCCUUGGAAUUCAUGGGAAAUUCCAGAUUUAAUAAAUGUACCUUUUACUUCAAACAGUAGCUCGAUCUUACAUCGUGUAAACAAACAUCAUGGCUGCUAGAUCUGUAAAUCAGUUAUUACCUCCCCUUGUUUCAUAUCACUUCCGUUACUAAGGAUGUAUUAUUGCUUUUUUAUAAUCCGCUUUGUGGAUUCUAAAGCGUAAACUGACCCAAACCAGGUUAUCAUCAAAUAGUUUGGCCAAGAAUUAGAGUCAUUCCUUAAUUAAACCAUACUACAUGUAUAACAUUAGUCUUUUAAGACAUUGAAGCUAUACAGAAAUAUUUACUCAUUGUACUGAGUUUAUUUUGACAGGUCUCCCAGGAUGUGCUGUUUAACUAUGUAAAGCUAAAGAAGAUGAAGAAACCACCAUUUUGACAGGUCUCCCAGGAUGUGCUGAUUAACUAUGUAAAGCUAAAGAAGAAGAAAAAAUCACCAUUUUGACAGGUCUCCAGGAUGUGCUGUUUAAGUAUGUAUAUCUAAAGAAGUGGAAGAAAUCACCAUUCUGACAGGUCUCCCAGAAUGUGCUGUUUAAGGAUGUAAAUCUAAAGAAAAGGAAGAAAUCACCAUUUUAACAGGUCUCCCAGGAUGUGCUGUUUAACUAUGUAAAGCUAAAGAAGAAGAAAAAAUCACCAUUUUGACAGGUCUCCCAGGAUGUGCUGUUAAACUAUGUAAAGCCAAAGAAAAGGAAGAAAUCACCAUUUUGACAGGUUUAACUAAUGCCUAAAUUUAGUUUUUUAGCUCACCUGAGCUGAAGGCUCAAGUGAGCUUUUCUGUUCAUAUUUUGUCAUGCGUCCGUCAGUUUGUCUAGCUGUCUGUCUGUAAACUUUUCACAUUAUCAACUUCUUCUCAAGAACCGCUGGGCCAAUUUCAACCAAACUUGCCACAAAGCAUUCCUGGGUGAAGGGGAUUUAAAUUUCUUGAAAUGAAGGGCCAUGCCCUCAUUCAAGGGGUGAUAAUUGGGAAUUAAGGAAAAUUUGGUGGGAUUUUUUAAAAAUCUUUUUCUUAUUUAAGAACCACUUUGCCAGAAAAGAUGAAACUUAUGAGGAAACAUUCUCAGGUAGUGUAGAUUCAAGUUUGU
Saccostrea cuccullata (small rock oyster) is the source of this 1216-nucleotide long non-coding RNA. RefSeq lists it as uncharacterized. NCBI's taxonomy places the organism in Eukaryota, Metazoa, Mollusca, Bivalvia, Ostreida, Ostreidae. The transcript is spliced from 6 exons. The record is from RefSeq and is a predicted model, not a curated record.